UCCCUGCUGGUCCAGUGGCUAAGACUUUGAGUUCUGAAUACAGCGGGCCGAGGUUCAAUUCCUGGUCAGGGAA
Molecule: transfer RNA, 73 nt
Filed under: Ovis aries (sheep)
Lineage: Eukaryota; Metazoa; Chordata; Mammalia; Artiodactyla; Bovidae
Rfam family: tRNA
About the family: Transfer RNA (tRNA) molecules are approximately 80 nucleotides in length. Their secondary structure includes four short double-helical elements and three loops (D, anti-codon, and T loops).
Source: Rfam by way of RNAcentral